This 909-nucleotide long non-coding RNA is filed under the name Chinchilla lanigera (long-tailed chinchilla). RNAcentral describes it as "lncRNA (ENSCLAG00000027141.1)". Lineage: Eukaryota; Metazoa; Chordata; Mammalia; Rodentia; Chinchillidae. The record is from RNAcentral.
AUGCAAAAAGUUCUAAAAAUUAUCAAAAUGCUCUUUAUUGAAGUUUUUUCUUUUUCCACUGACCCAUGGGAUGUAUUAAAAGUGGACAAAUGGGCCUAUUUCCUGAUAGGAAGAGUAACCAAGAAGACCAUCUGCAAGAACAAGGGUGUGAGGUCAAAUUCCAAUAAAAUAAUGCAAAGAGAGAAACCCUCACCUAAAUCUCUGUCUAAAUCAUGUAUCAUCAAUCAUCAAUCGACACUGCGCUGGGUACUAGCUUGUGUGCUGCGCCUUUUGAGGAUUCAGAGAGUAUGGGAUAUAAAGGAAUGUCAAGGGAUUUGGAGGACCAUGUCUCACAUCCAGCUCACUAAGGGCACAUGUUCCAAGAUUCCCAGUGGAUGUACGAAACAAAGGACUAUAUCAAACCUAUCCAAAUGAUUUUUCUUAUACUUACACAUUUACGUGUAACUGACUUGAAGAUUCAGAUGCUCCAUUCCAGUUUCAAUCUAAGGCUGGGCAUGGUGGUGCACACCUGGAAUCCCAGCACUCAGGAGGCUGAAGCAGGAGGACUGUUGCAAAUUCAAGGCCAGCCUGGGCUAGAAAAUGAGCUCAAGGCCAGCCUGAACUGCAUAGUGAGACCCUGCCUCAAAAAAAAAAAAAAAAAUAAAUCUAGGAAAUGUUAUUUCAUGUGGUAUUUUUAGUAUUUUCAUUCUUAUUCAAUUUUCAAAACUUGUUUUUUGGUUUUGACUAUGUAACAGUUCCAAGAAACAAUGUUUUUGUUUUGGCUCUGUAGUUAGUAUUAUGUGGAAUGCGAAACAAAACAGACUAAGAACAAAGCUAUCUCUAGUUCACCUUCCCUACAACUUUUCCAAAUUCACUCUCACUGGGUAACAAAUGGAUCAUUCCUCUGUGUACACAAACACAUAGACCAAU